Molecule: ribosomal RNA, 399 nt
Filed under: Lacticaseibacillus rhamnosus
Lineage: Bacteria; Bacillati; Bacillota; Bacilli; Lactobacillales; Lactobacillaceae
Description: bacterial SSU rRNA
Rfam family: Bacterial small subunit ribosomal RNA
Source: RNAcentral
AGCCCGCCGCGUGAGUGAAGAAGGCCUUCGGGUUGUAAAACUCUUUUGUUGGAGAGGAAUGGUCUGCAGAUUAACUGUUGGCGGCGUGACGGUAUCCAACCAAAAAGCCACGGCUAACUACGUGCCAGCAGCCGCGGUAAUACGUAGGUGGCAAGCGUUAUCCGGAUUUAUUGGGCGUAAAGCGAGCGCAGGCGGUUUUUUAAGUCUGAUGUGAAAGCCCUCGGCUUAACCGAGGAACUGCAUCGGAAACUGGGAAACUUGAGUGCAGAAGAGGACGGUGGAACUCCAUGUGUAGCGGUGAAAUGCGUAGAUAUAUGGAAGAACACCAGUGGCGAAGGCGGCUGUCUGGUCUGUAACUGACGCUCAGGCUCGAAAGCAUGGGUAGCGAACAGGAUAGAU